UACGUAGGGUGCGAGCGUUAAUCGGAAUUACUGGGCGUAAAGUGUGCGCAGGCGGCCGCGCAAGUCGAGUGUGAAAGCCCCGAGCUCAACUUGGGAAUUGCGCUCGAAACUACGUGGCUGGAGUGUGGCAGAGGAAGGUGGAAUUCCAGGUGUAGCGGUGAAAUGCGUAGAGAUCUGGAGGAACACCGAUGGCGAAGGCAGCCUUCUGGGCCAACACUGACGCUCAUGCACGAAAGCGUGGGGAGCAAACAGG
Molecule: ribosomal RNA, 253 nt
Filed under: uncultured bacterium
Lineage: Bacteria
Description: partial 16S ribosomal RNA
Rfam family: Bacterial small subunit ribosomal RNA
Source: RNAcentral